AACGCUAGCUACAGGCUUAACACAUGCAAGUCGAGGGGCAGCGCAGUGUAGCAAUACAUGGGCGGCGACCGGCGCACGGGUGCGUAACGCGUAUCCAACCUUCCCGUUACUCUUGGAUAGCCUUCCGAAAGGGAGAUUAAUACAAGAUGGUAUUCAAAUUCCGCAUGUUAUUUGAAUUAAAGAUUUAUCGGUAACGGAUGGGGAUGCGUGACAUUAGAUAGUAGGCGGGGUAACGGCCCACCUAGUCUACGAUGUCUAGGGGUUCUGAGAGGAAGGUCCCCCACACUGGAACUGAGACACGGUCCAGACUCCUACGGGAGGCAGCAGUGAGGAAUAUUGGUCAAUGGUCGGAAGACUGAACCAGCCAAGUAGCGUGAAGGAUGAAGGUUCUAUGGAUUGUAAACUUCUUUUAUACGGGAAUAAGACACCUUACGUGUAGGGUCUUGUAUGUACCGUAUGAAUAAGCAUCGGCUAACUCCGUGCCAGCAGCCGCGGUAAUACGGAGGAUGCGAGCGUUAUCCGGAUUUAUUGGGUUUAAAGGGAGCGUAGACGGGAUGUUAAGUCAGUUGUGAAAGGCUGCGGCUCAACCGCAGCACUGCAGUUGAUACUGGCGUCCUUGAGUGCGGUUGAGGUAUGUGGAAUUCGUGGUGUAGCGGUGAAAUGCUUAGAUAUCACGAAGAACUCCGAUUG
This 690-nucleotide ribosomal RNA is filed under the name uncultured bacterium. RNAcentral describes it as "bacterial SSU rRNA". It matches the Rfam family "Bacterial small subunit ribosomal RNA", at positions 32 to 715 of the family's 1533-position model. The record is from RNAcentral.